GCCUACGGGGGGCAGCAGUAGGGAAUUUUCGUCAAUGGGCGCAAGCCUGAACGAGCGAUGCCGCGUGAGUGAAGAAGGCCUUCGGGUCGUAAAGCUCUGUUGCGGGGGAAAAAAGGCAGCAUCAGGAAAUGGGUGCUGACUGAUGGUGCCCCGCCAGAAAGUCACGGCUAACUACGUGCCAGCAGCCGCGGUAAUACGUAGGUGGCGAGCGUUAUCCGGAAUGAUUGGGCGUAAAGGGCGCGUAGGCGGUUUAAUAAGUCAGUGGUGAA
This 269-nucleotide ribosomal RNA is filed under the name uncultured bacterium. RNAcentral's name for it is "partial 16S ribosomal RNA". It matches the Rfam family "Bacterial small subunit ribosomal RNA", at positions 337 to 598 of the family's 1533-position model. The record is from RNAcentral.